AACGUUUCGAAUCUGUGCUGAGAUUUCGUCAGACACCAACCCAUUAGGGCUGAUCAGACUUUCAAGAUAAGUGAAGUU
RNAcentral lists this microRNA precursor (78 nucleotides) under Schistosoma curassoni. RNAcentral's name for it is "mir-3492 microRNA precursor family". It matches the Rfam family "mir-3492 microRNA precursor family". The record is from Rfam by way of RNAcentral. Lineage: Eukaryota; Metazoa; Platyhelminthes; Trematoda; Strigeidida; Schistosomatidae.